Molecule: non-coding RNA, 601 nt
Organism: Betta splendens (Siamese fighting fish)
Lineage: Eukaryota; Metazoa; Chordata; Actinopteri; Anabantiformes; Osphronemidae
Source: the annotation of a RefSeq genome assembly
UCAGCUGCUUCAUGCUCCACUGCUCUGGGAGACUUUAUAGUCCUGAGAGCUGAACCCUGGAUGACUGACGUCUGUCCUUCAUCACAAGCAGACACAGAAAUCCUCCUCAUCAGCACCAUGACUCUGACCUCCGUCCUCGUCUGGACUCUGCUCUGCUGCUGCUUCACAGAGUCCAGAGGUCAGGUCACAGUGACUCAGCCUGGAGCAGUGAGCGCCGCGCUGGGAGGAAGCGUCACCAUCAGCUGUAAACCUAGUCAGAAUGUUUACACUCAGGGCGGCAUCAUUCCGUUUGCCUGGUACCAACUGAAAGACAGAGAAACUCCCAAACUGCUCAUUUAUCAUGCUAGUCGUCGACAGUCAGGGAUUCCAGAUCGUUUUUCAGGCAGUGGCUCAUACAGUGACUUCACUCUAACCAUCAGUGGAGUCCAGGCUGAAGAUGCAGCACUUUAUUACUGUCAGAGUGUUCAUGUUAUCAACAAUGUGUGGGUGUUCACACAGUGAAAAACCGUCGUACAAAAACCUCCUCAGUCAAAUGAACAGAAACUGAACUGAUGCAGCUGGAGGAUACUGAACACACACACACACGCACACACACGCACAC